AAAGUGGUAUUUAACUCGGUUAUAGGUGAUUUGUUUUGUUUUUGUCAAAAGUGUGUCUUGAUUUUUCUCUCAUAGUAAUCUCAGGUGAUGAUUUUUUCUCGUAGUAAUCUCGAGUGAAAAGCGACAACGUUUCCUAUAGAAUGUGAUAAUGGAGGUGAUCUCUACAGCUGCUAAGAACCCCAUGGAAUCCAGGCUCCUUUCACAUCUGCAGAGCAUCUUGAACAUGUACGACCAAAGUUUCAAGUGAGAACAUGCAUAAAACGAUAAUGACUGUUUUUGUGAGUCAGUCUAGAUGAAAAUAUCAACUGAAAAUUUGUAUUGGAGCAUUCCAUUUUGUGUGUGUAGUGCAGAAUUUUUAUUAUACAUGCGCUGUUGUUAAAUUAUUUGGAUAUAAGUUUGUCAAACCAGCAUUGUUUAAAUGCUUCAUUGUGUGACUAACUAUCUGUGUGGUAGAACUCUCCAUGAAAAGUAGCCACUCAGAUUGUCAGAAAAUGUUCCCCUUUUGUGACACCUGAAUACUCAUUAGCAUGUUCACAAGAGACUACCUCUGGACCCUAUCUUGAGCCACAUGAAUUCAGUCCACAUCCUUAGAUCCUGUCUCUUAAAAUCUUUUUUUAUAUAUUUCUACCAUAAAAACAUCAGGAGCUGUCCGUUUUCUUUGCAUAUUCUGGCCAAUUUUUAUGUGCAUUUUUAAUUUUCCUCAAGCAUCAUCACGGAUACGUUCAGCUGAAACGUUGGUAACAGCCUACAAGACGUACGUAGUGUCACAACCCAGAAGACGCCAUUGGAACCUCAGAUCUCAGCCUGUUUGUUAUAAAGUUACUAUCAUACCACACUGAAUUUAGCGUAAUUCACUGAUGUAACAUUGUCUGCAGUUGUGUUAUAUUUUAUAAUAACUAAUUUAUUACACACAAUUUAAAUACUUUUUUCAGAUGGCUUGGACUGUGAUGAUCCUGAAAUUGCAUCCCUUUGCCUUGAUGGAAUCAGAUGUGCCAUCCGGAUAGCUUGCAUUUUCCACACGACGCUGGAAAGGGAAGCGUGUGUCCAGGCUCUGGCCAGGUUCACAUUGCGUACUGCUAACUCACCUAUCACUGCGAUGAAGGCUAAGAAUAUUGAUACCAUUAAAACUCUCAUCACUGUUGCUCAUACUGAUGGUAAAUAUUUAAAUUUUAUUUUAAAAACAAAAUGAUAAUGUGCUGAUUGAUGCAUUACAAGUGACAUGAUUGGUCGACUGUCUGAUAUUUGGAUCUGUUACUCAUUGAAUGUUGCAACUGAGUGCCUACCACUUCUUUUUGUAUGGGAGGUCCCAGAUUAAAAUCUCAGCCCAGAGAUUGGCUAUUGUAGUUGACA
Molecule: non-coding RNA, 1350 nt
Organism: Zootermopsis nevadensis
Lineage: Eukaryota; Metazoa; Arthropoda; Insecta; Blattodea; Termopsidae
Source: RefSeq, a predicted model, not a curated record